Molecule: ribosomal RNA, 253 nt
Filed under: uncultured bacterium
Lineage: Bacteria
Description: partial 16S ribosomal RNA
Rfam family: Bacterial small subunit ribosomal RNA
Source: RNAcentral
UACGGAGGGUGCGAGCGUUGUUCGGAAUCACUGGGCGUAAAGGGCGUGUAGGCGGUCCGCUAAGUCUGAUGUGAAAGCCCGGGGCUCACCCCCGGAAGUGCAUUGGAAACUGGCGGACUCGAGUCCCGGAGAGGAGAGUGGAAUUCCUGGUGUAGCGGUGAAAUGCGUAGAUAUCAGGAGGAACACCGGUGGCGAAGGCGGCUCUCUGGACGGUGACUGACGCUGAGACGCGAAAGCGUGGGGAGCGAUCCGG